Long non-coding RNA from Aquila chrysaetos chrysaetos, 2529 nucleotides. RefSeq lists it as uncharacterized. NCBI's taxonomy places the organism in Eukaryota, Metazoa, Chordata, Aves, Accipitriformes, Accipitridae. The record is from RefSeq and is a predicted model, not a curated record. The transcript is spliced from 2 exons.
CCGCUCGCCGCCCGCCCGGCGGGGCGGGGGUGGGGGCGGCUCUGUCCCGUCGGGAUCGUGCUGGCCCCGCUCCGCGAGCGGGAGGGAAGCUACCCGCAAAACCGGAGGGGACGGAGCUGGCAGAGAGCAGCAAGAGAGACUGCCAUUUUGACUCAGAAGACCUGAGGUUAGUCUGGAGCCUCCCACUCCAUAAGCCCUGAGAAGCUCCAGGAAGCUGUGGCAGCAGUGGAGGACUGAGGACCAGCAGAGCCUAUAGGUGACCUGCUGGAAACUAGGGACUGUCCACGGUGUCAUCUUACCCCAAACCUACCCAUGACAGCUGCCUGUUAUACCUGAUAACAUCCUGGCACCCAAAAGAGCCCACUACUCUUACCAGACUUGGAUGGAAGAAGUGGAAGGCAAGUCUGAGGAAUAAGUAUUGCAUUAUUAUGUUGAAUAAAUGGUAGGUUAGCAGUUGUUACAAACUAAGUAGGAUCUAAAUGACUUAACACCCCUGCAAUCUGUGUCUGUUCUCCUUUUAGACUACUCUGCUCCUUAAUCUCUUUUUAUAUAAUCUCUAUUUUAUUGUAAGUCAUAUUGUGUGUAUUGAGCAACUAGGUUUACUUGCUGAUCCCCAGAAUCUCAGCUACCACUGGUAGUUGGGGAGGUACCAGAGUCCCUGCAGGGAGAGCAACAGGGGACUCCACUGCUCUGAAGGAUUAGGGUACCUCAUCAAGAACUGGGUAUUACAGCAUCUGUGGAGGGUCACUAGAGGUUGAUUGCCUUCUUUUGGUACCAUGAAGUGCAGUAGGCUGAAAUGACUUGUCUAAGAUCUUAAAGCAAGACAGUGACAGAGCUGGAAAUAAUCCCUGAAGGCAAAAGCUAUUUGUAACAUAUUUUCUGCAAAUAUUGCAUUAUUUGAAAGGUUUCCAGUUGAUUAUUGCAAAUUUAAAAAGAAAUAAAAUUUGUGCAUUACUGAACUUUUGGGGUCCAUGUUUGUUUUUAAAUCCAAGGAUGCCUGUGUCUGUCUUAUGCUACUACUCAUCCACUGUCUUAAAUCCACCUUGCAUGUAAUUUUUAAGUUUUCCUAGCUGUAACUCCACUGAUUCUAAUUUGUUGUAAUUUACAUUCUGAAGAGACAGGACAGACUAUGGUCCAAUAAAAACAAGUAACAAGAAGGUGUAAGAAAGCAAUGGCUAAAGCAUGGUGGGAACCUCCAUCAUUAACUUUAUGCCUUAUUUAGUGCACCUUAUUCUAGUUCCUUUGUAUCUUUUAAAAUGACACAAUUUAAAAGUCCCUUAUAUUUCCUAUGACUCUGAGACAAUCUCUAAGAUUUUAAUCUGCUUGAAGUCACUGGCAAAACUGUUCUGGACUUCAGUCCAGAACUUAUCUUUUGUACUUCUGUGUACACUUGAUAGCAUAAAACUUAACCUGCCUUAUUCAUCAUCUUUGUUCCCUAGCCUUAGAAACAGCUUAGCCAGAACAAAUAGUGAAUGUCCUGCAGAAGUGGCUUUAGAUUCCAUAAAGUUACUCUCCUUUCUGCAAAAACUGUGCUAUCCUUAGUCAUGAUCUGAAUCAUGUUUUGACCCCAAAUGAGCAAACCCCCAGACCAUUACAUAGUAGCAUCAAAAAAAAAUUACUAGGUUGCAAUUGCCUCUUAAGGAUUAUGUUAAACAUUUUAAUUAGUUUGCAUUUCCUUUGGUCACUUACUUUUUUCAAAGCUGUAAACUGGUUCAUUAGCCAGCACACCACAUAUCUGGCUAAUCUGGAUGCCCACAUGUAAUAAAUAUUACGGAUAUCAUGCAGACAGGCCAAAGUUUCUAACACUUCUCAAACAUCAGGUAGUCUUCAAAACUCAGAAAAAAGGUUACUGCUGUCUGGAUAUUUAACAAAAUAUUUUUUAAGAAAGAGAAGAUACUUGGGUAAGAUAGAUACAUUCACAUUUCCUGCAUCUACCUUCUGAAGUAAUUCAGGAACUAGCCCAAGUAAGUACUGAAUCAUUUCCAGAUAUUUCAGAUAUCUUUGAAAACUCAUGGAGGACAGAGGAGACAGUAGAGGACUGAGAAAGGGAAACAUAAUAGCUUUUUCUAAAAGAGAAGUGACCCCAAGGUAGCCAGGUAGCCUAACUAACUUUCACCCCUGGAUUCUGGGAAAAAUUGUUAAAUAAGCAGUUUCUAAAGGCCUAGAACAUGCUAAGUUGAUAAAAGCUUGCUGACACACCUCUGUCACGAAUAUAUCAUGUCAAACAAAACUGAUUUUCUUCUUCACUAUCUUGCCUGGUAGAUACAGAUGAAGCAGGGAAAAUUACAUAGAUUUUAGUAAGGCUUCUGACUCUGUUCCCUAUUGUUUUUUAUAAGUAACUAAAGAAGUACAGCCUAGAUGAAAUCACUAGAAAGUAAGGACGGAUGAGGGCCACUGAUCAAAAAAUACUGCGUUGAAGAAGUGGUUAUUGGUGGCUUACAGUCAGUUUGAGAUGGCAUUUCAUGUAGGCUUUAGGAGUCUGAGGACAGUUCUCUUCAAUGGGAUGGGAUGAGUGACUAGACCAUAUGC